AUUGAACGCUGGCGGAAUGCUUUACACAUGCAAGUCGAACGGUAGAGGGGGCAACCCCUUGAGAGUGGCGAACGGGUGAGUAAUAUAUCGGAACGUGCCCAGUCGUGGGGAUAACGUAGCGAAAGUUACGCUAAUACCGCAUACGAUCUAAGGAUGAAAGCGGGGGAUCGCAAGACCUCGCGCGAUUGGAGCGGCCGAUAUCAGAUUAGGUAGUUGGUGAGGUAAAGGCUCACCAAGCCGACGAUCUGUAGCUGGUCUGAGAGGACGACCAGCCACACUGGGACUGAGACACGGCCCAGACUCCUACGGGAGGCAGCAGUGGGGAAUUUUGGACAAUGGGCGCAAGCCUGAUCCAGCAAUGCCGCGUGCAGGAUGAAGGCCUUCGGUUGUAACUAGCUUUGUACGGUAACGAAACGGUGAGCUCUAAUACAGUUUGCUAAUGACGGUACCGUAAGAAUAAGACACCGG
Molecule: ribosomal RNA, 468 nt
Filed under: uncultured bacterium
Lineage: Bacteria
Description: bacterial SSU rRNA
Rfam family: Bacterial small subunit ribosomal RNA
Source: RNAcentral